AACGAACGCUGGCGGCAUGCCUAACACAUGCAAGUCGAACGAGACCUUCGGGUCUAGUGGCGCACGGGUGCGUAACGCGUGGGAAUCUGCCCUUGGGUUCGGAAUAACAGUGAGAAAUUACUGCUAAUACCGGAUGAUGUCUUCGGACCAAAGAUUUAUCGCCCAGGGAUGAGCCCGCGUAGGAUUAGCUAGUUGGUGGGGUAAUGGCCUACCAAGGCGACGAUCCUUAGCUGGUCUGAGAGGAUGAUCAGCCACACUGGGACUGAGACACGGCCCAGACUCCUACGGGAGGCAGCAGUGGGGAAUAUUGGACAAUGGGCGAAAGCCUGAUCCAGCAAUGCCGCGUGAGUGAUGAAGGCCUUAGGGUUGUAAAGCUCUUUUACCCGGGAUGAUAAUGACAGUACCGGGAGAAUAAGCUCCGGCUAACUCCGUGC
This 434-nucleotide ribosomal RNA is filed under the name uncultured bacterium. RNAcentral's name for it is "bacterial SSU rRNA". It matches the Rfam family "Bacterial small subunit ribosomal RNA", at positions 29 to 508 of the family's 1533-position model. The record is from RNAcentral.